UACGGAGGGGGCGAGCGUUAUUCGGAAUUAUUGGGCGUAAAGGGCGCGUAGGCGGCCAUGCGUGUCUUCCGUGAAAUCCCUCGGCUUAACUGAGGACGUGCGGAAGAAACUGCAAGGCUCGAGUCCGGGAGAGGGGGGUGGAAUUCCCAGUGUAGCGGUGAAAUGCGUAGAUAUUGGGAGGAACACCGGUGGCGAAGGCGGCCCCCUGGACCGGUACUGACGCUGAUGCGCGUAAGCGUGGGUAGCAAACGGG
This 253-nucleotide ribosomal RNA is filed under the name uncultured bacterium. RNAcentral describes it as "partial 16S ribosomal RNA". It matches the Rfam family "Bacterial small subunit ribosomal RNA", at positions 524 to 776 of the family's 1533-position model. The record is from RNAcentral.